CUUGCCUUGGUUUAAUUCUCUGGAAUGUCAAUGGUCUUUAUUUAUAUUUGCAGCAUUGCUGCUGCUUUCAAAAGCAAGCAAAAUCAACAACAUUAAACAUGUCUCUUAAGGAAACUCUUUCACUAACCGGCAAAGCUGUUACGGACGAUCAGGUCUCGGCAAAACGCAGGAGGUCUGAUCGAUGGUUUUCAUUCAAGGAGAUAUCGAUAGAACCAGGAAAAUCACUAAAAGACCUGGAUUCAAACAAGUUCAAGAUUGAUAUCAAGAGAUGGGCCAGGGCUGUUGUGGCAUAUGCCCGCCAAGUAAGUAGCAGGUUUGGAAGCACGAGAAAAAGUAGCCGGAUUGGAAGCUCUCGUGAUUCAUCACAGGACUCCAUAUAGUUGAAGAUUUGAAGAACUGGGCCCAUCUCGAGGAAGGAAAACUGAAAAAAUUGAUGUCAAGCUACGAGAAUGUGUUCAAGCAAGACAGGAUCAACCUCGAGCGAGAUCAGAGUUUGGUCCAUCAGCUCGAAACGGAGGCGCAACUUGUGUGCAAAGUCAAUAUCUUGGAGAUGGGGUUCAUGUAUACAACACUAAUCGUUCUGAUUGUCUUUUCAUUCCAUUUAUAAUUAAUACGAUCUGUUGAUGAUAUGAAGCAAGUGGAUUUUGUUUUUUAUUUCUUCGUUCUUUCUUCCAUUAAUAAGACGACAUUGAAGAUGUUGGG
Long non-coding RNA from Populus euphratica (Euphrates poplar), 702 nucleotides. RefSeq lists it as uncharacterized. NCBI's taxonomy places the organism in Eukaryota, Viridiplantae, Streptophyta, Magnoliopsida, Malpighiales, Salicaceae. The transcript has 2 exons. The record is from RefSeq and is a predicted model, not a curated record.